This 116-nucleotide transfer RNA is filed under the name Capitella teleta. RNAcentral describes it as "tRNA-Ile for anticodon UAU". It matches the Rfam family "tRNA". From Rfam's summary of the family: Transfer RNA (tRNA) molecules are approximately 80 nucleotides in length. Their secondary structure includes four short double-helical elements and three loops (D, anti-codon, and T loops). The record is from Rfam by way of RNAcentral. Lineage: Eukaryota; Metazoa; Annelida; Polychaeta; Capitellidae.
GCCCCGGUAGCACAAUCGGUUAGCGCGCCGUACUUAUAUGACAGUGAAGUUGGUCAAUGGCCGAUGUUGGCAGCUAAGGAAUGCGGAGGUUGUGAGUUCGAGCCUCACCCGGGGCA